GAUGAACGCUGGCGGCGUGCCUAAUACAUGCAAGCCGAGCGAACGGACGAGAAGCUUGCUUCUCUGAUGUUAGCGGCGGACGGGUGAGUAACACGUGGAUAACCUACCUAUAAGACUGGGAUAACUUCGGGAAACCGGAGCUAAUACCGGAUAAUAUUUUGAACCGCAUGGUUCAAAAGUGAAAGACGGUCUUGCUGUCACUUAUAGAUGGAUCCGCGCUGCAUUAGCUAGUUGGUAAGGUAACGGCUUACCAAGGCAACGAUGCAUAGCAGACCUGAGAGGGUGAUCGGCCACACUGGAACUGAGACACGGUCCAGACUCCUACGGGAGGCAGCAGUAGGGAAUCUUCCGCAAUGGGCGAAAGCCUGACGGAGCAACGCCGCGUGAGUGAUGAAGGUCUUCGGAUCGUAAAACUCUGUUAUUAGGGAAGAACAUAUGUGUAAGUAACUGUGCACAUCUUGACGGUACCUAAUCAGAAAGCCACGGCUAACUACGUG
RNAcentral lists this ribosomal RNA (497 nucleotides) under uncultured bacterium. RNAcentral's name for it is "partial 16S ribosomal RNA". It matches the Rfam family "Bacterial small subunit ribosomal RNA", at positions 28 to 507 of the family's 1533-position model. The record is from RNAcentral.